Molecule: non-coding RNA, 843 nt
Organism: Triticum urartu
Lineage: Eukaryota; Viridiplantae; Streptophyta; Magnoliopsida; Poales; Poaceae
Source: RefSeq, a predicted model, not a curated record
GUAUUUUCUUUUUCUCUCUGUCCAGCCGACAGGUGGGCCCCACCCAGCUGUCUUCCACCUCCAGUUGGUCUCCCGACCGAGAACGCAACCCGCGCGCGUAUCCUGCGCAUGAUCUCACCGAUCCCUCCGAUCCGUCUGCGAUUCGCUCGCAUACGCACAACCCCGCACAGCCGUCGAUCUCCUCUCUCGAUCCCUUGCCUUGCCUCGCACAACCGAGCAGGGAAUCGAGCGCAGCGACCUUGCGGAUCUUCGCCUCGUCGCCGGUACUUCAUCGACGAAAUUCGUCGCCGCCUAUGCUCGGAUUCGAGCUCCCCAGCCAACCCGAUCUCGUCGGAGCUCCCAUCGCCAGCAGCCCCUCCGCCGGCGAAUUUGGCGCCACCAAGGGAGAGAAUCAAACCUAGCACGCCGAGCUUGCCCGGAGCAAAUCACCGCCACCCGUCGCUCCACCCGUACACUGUCAUCGCCUGACGACGCCCCGUCGUCACUGACCUCACAACCUUCUUCUCCGUCACUCUGCGCACCUGCUGGUCCACCCUCCCAGUCGCCUUGGUCCACCGGAGAGGCCACACCGAGAAACGCCAUAGCCACACCGACAUCGGAGCUCCAAACGCCACUGCAGCGCUAGCAGAGGACGCUCACAUCUCCGUCGAAGCUACCAUCGUCUCCGUCAUCGCAAGCUGCAUCCGCCCGUCACCUCAUCUUCGCCGGAGAGCCACCGGAGGAGCGCCGCCACCCACGCCCGAAGCCGUCGCCGUUUUCCCCCUGCUUCGAUUGCUCGGAGCGUGACUAGUAGAAUUAUCAGGAUUGUGAGUGCGACGAUCUUCAUCCAACAUACCAGGCAAG